UACGAAGGUCGCAAGCGUUAUCCGGAAUUAUUGGGCGUAAAGCGUCUGUAGGUUGUUUGUCAAGUUUCAAAUUAAAACUCUGAGCUCAACUCAGAGAUCGUUUGAAAAACUGUCAAACUAGAGAAUGGGAGAGGCAAGCGGAAUGGCCGGUGUAGUAGUAAUAUGCAUUAAUAUCGGCUAGAACACCAAAUGCGAAGGCAGCUUGCUAGAACAUUUCUGACACUGAGAGACGAAAGCGUGGGUAGCGAAUGGG
Molecule: ribosomal RNA, 253 nt
Filed under: uncultured bacterium
Lineage: Bacteria
Description: partial 16S ribosomal RNA
Rfam family: Bacterial small subunit ribosomal RNA
Source: RNAcentral